UAGUUGGUGGAGUAAUAGCCUACCAAGGCAAUGAUCUAUAGCUGAUCUGAGAGGAUGAUCAGCCACACUGGAACUGAGAUACGGUCCAGACUCCUACGGGAGGCAGCAGUGGGGAAUAUUGGACAAUGGGCGAAAGCCUGAUCCAGCCAUGCCGCAUGAGUGAAGAAGGCCUUUGGGUUGUAAAGCUCUUUUAGUGAGGAAGAUAAUGACGGUACUCACAGAAGAAGUCCUGGCUAACUCCGUGCCAGCAGCCGCGGUAAUACGGAGAGGGCUAGCGUUAUUCGGAAUUAUUGGGCGUAAAGGGCGCGUAGGCUGAUUAAUAAGUUAAAAGUGAAAUCCCGAGGCUUAACCUUGGAAUUGCUUUUAAAACUAUUAAUCUAGAGAUUGAAAGAGGAUAGAGGAAUUCCUGAUGUAGAGGUAAAAUUCGUAAAUAUUAGGAGGAACACCAGUGGCGAAGGCGUCUAUCUGGUUCAAAUCUGACGCUGAAGCGCGAAGGCGUGGGGAGCAAACAGGAUUAGAUACCCUGGUAGUCCACGCUGUAAACGAUGAAUGUUAAAUAUGGGAAGUUUCCUUUCU
This 576-nucleotide ribosomal RNA is filed under the name Wolbachia endosymbiont of Bemisia tabaci. RNAcentral describes it as "bacterial SSU rRNA". It matches the Rfam family "Bacterial small subunit ribosomal RNA", at positions 246 to 842 of the family's 1533-position model. Lineage: Bacteria; Pseudomonadati; Pseudomonadota; Alphaproteobacteria; Rickettsiales; Anaplasmataceae. The record is from RNAcentral.